RNAcentral lists this ribosomal RNA (163 nucleotides) under uncultured beta proteobacterium. Its description in RNAcentral is "partial 16S ribosomal RNA". It matches the Rfam family "Bacterial small subunit ribosomal RNA", at positions 371 to 526 of the family's 1533-position model. The record is from RNAcentral. Lineage: Bacteria; Pseudomonadati; Pseudomonadota; Betaproteobacteria.
AUGGGCGCAAGCCUGAUCCAGCAAUGCCGCGUGAGUGAAGAAGGCCUUCGGGUUGUAAAGCUCUUUUGUCAGGGAAGAAACGGUGNGGGCUAAUAUCCUUCACUAAUGACGGUACCUGAAGAAUAAGCACCGGCUAACUACGUGCCAGCAGCCGCGGUAAUAA